GUAGGGGAGUGUGGGUGGAUGGGUAUGGGGGACUUUUGGUAUAGCAUUGGAAAUGUAAAUGAGGAAAAUACCUAAUAAAAAAUGGAAAGAAAAAAAAAAAAGAAUGUCACAAGUUCAAAGUCAGCCUAAGUUACCUAGCAUGAUUCUGAAGGGAGAAGCCACUUACUUCGUCACAAGAAAAAAGUAAUUAUAAGCAACAAAUCAAGAAAAAUAAUUGUGUUGUCAUGGGUUAGAGGAGAAAUUUGGCAGGUAAAUAUUAAGACUACUUGGUUUUGUUAAAUAAGUUUUACAUAAGACAUAUAAUUAUUACUUUUAUUGUUGGAAAUUAUAGCAUUCCCACCAAGCCUUUCCACGUACCCGAACCUGUUUUCCCUCAGCUUUGUGGUGUCUGUCUUCACUAAGUGUCCAUACAUAUCUACAUGUUCUCCUGAGUACAGUCUCCUCAGCCUAUACAUUAUUACUACAUGUAUGUUUUCAGGGCUGACCACUUGGUAUCCAUACCCAGCCAGUACUUUUCACUGGAGAAGCCUGUCUCUCCCCGUCAGCAUUUGUAGUAGCCUGUUGUCAUUGGUGUGUUCCUCCUGUCCACAUCAGACAUGUCUGUUGUUGUCCUUGCUCAGUUAGUUGUAGCUUCUGAUAUUAUGAGGAGACACAUCUAUCUCGUAGUAAGCUCCCUGAACCUCAUGCUCUGCCCUCUGCCCUACAAUGUCCCUGAGCCUUAGGUGCUGGAUAUUAUUAUUAUUUUAAUAUUAUUCUGUAGAUGUAUUCCAUUGGAACCUGACUCCACAGUGGAUCUGUAGUGGUUUUCUGUAACAUUUUUCAUCUGUUGCAAAGAGAAGUUUCCUUGAUGAGGGGCGAGGACUAGACGUAUCUUUGGUAUAAGGAGAGAGAUUUAAGAUGUAGAGUUUGUGCUGGUUUAGUGAGGUGAUUGUAGCUCCUUCAAGAUUGAUGUCUUCACUGGCACUGGGGAGGUGGCCAAGUCCAGAACCAGGAAUGGUUUCCUUCCUUCUGAGCAGGACUCAUGAAGACAAAUAACUCUAAGAACCAGUUUUGAUUUUCUGUUUAUUUUGGCUCAAUAUUGAAGGUACUAUGAAGGUCAAUUGCUAGUUGAAGUAAUAGGGAAAUGUUUUAAAACACUUUAAAGGAUAAAACUUUUUGAAAUACGUUAAGGGAACAUGACCAUAAGAAGUAUUGCCUAAAUAAAAGCACAUUAUAGCAACGCGGAUUUUAGGGGCUCUUCAUAUUGGAUUUAACAUAAUUUAUUCUAAUGGCAGUAACUUAUACAGUUGAUUUUCUGGUGAAAUACAGUAUUGAUAAUUAGAAAGAAGUCACCUUCUCCGAUGGAACACUAUUUCUUUCAAACAUUUCGUAUUUGGUUGUAGUUAAAAUUGUUUCAAAAAGAAAGUGGGUUCUGGAUUGCAAGCAUGCCCUCUAGUGGACAUUCUGUGGAACUUUCCUUAGAAGUCAAUUUGUAGUGCCAGGCGCAGAAGGAAGCAUUCAAGCCACCCUUCAGAAACUGGGCUUUAACUUCAAUUUAACUUUGCAGAACAAUGCUUAGUAUAUUACAAAGCAUAAUGGAAAAUGGUCAUAUUUGUGUAAAUAUGUCAUAUAUAAUUUUUAAAAAUUUUAAAGUUUAACACUUUAAUGUUAGAAUUUUACUCUUUAAAUUCAUUUUCCAUAAAUAACUAUUAUAAAAAUCUUGAAACAAAGACAAAAUAUACUCAUUUUUUCCAUUUAGUAAAUCUGGUUAAUGAAUAUUUCCAUUUUAGACUUUAUAUAGAAACAUGGAAACAGAUUUUUCCCUCUGUUUUCUGUCCUUUAACUUUUUAUGGUUUUUUUUCCCCCCUUCCUAUUCAGUCUUUCAGAGUUCUGAUCAAAUUAACAACAAUUCUCUAUUCCAAAAAUACCCAAUUUCUGUAUAAAAAUACCCAAUUUCUGUAUACAAGUUCUUAUUUUCUCUCAAGAAUCUUAGGAUAAGGAAAUGAUGCUUUCUCCUGUCUGGCUUGGCUUGGUUUGGUUUGGUUUGGUUUUGCUUUGCAUUUACCCCCUGUGUGGCUCUGCUUUGAAGUUUGUCAGAGAUCAGUUGCUGGUAUUGGUGGUGGGAAAAGCCAUUAGUGCACAGUAGCUAGUCCCACUAUAAAUUCAGGAUCUUUGCCAUUUCUCAAAGGAUCACUUAUUUAUUCUUCUUCACUGAGGUAUUUAAUACUUAAUCAUAUUGUUUUUGUGUUGACUAAUAAUUUCUUACACUGAAAAGCUGUAAAACCACUGGUCAAAUUUGUGUUUUCAAAUGUUAAAGACCUAAGGGGUAGUGGGAUUUAAAUCACAGUUGGUGUCACCCAGCAAAUGAACAGCCCUUAAAACCUGGCUUCCCAAUGUCCAGCUUGAAGCCAUGUUUGUUGCAAGUGCCCAUGUGGGUAAGUGUGCAUCCUCUGAGUUGAGACGUCUUAUGCCAGUUGUUGUGUCUUAGAGACAGCCUCCUGGGUAUUGCCAUUGCCAGCUGCUCAUAGUCUCUGGACAACAAGCAAGAGUGGACCCUAAAGUACUGUUUCUGGGAUGAGUAUUUUGCCAAACCAGGGAUCACUUCUGAUUUCCUGCAUUCUAUUUGUCAACUGAAUGAUUUUUUUUUAAAGU
Molecule: long non-coding RNA, 2631 nt
Filed under: Mus musculus (house mouse)
Lineage: Eukaryota; Metazoa; Chordata; Mammalia; Rodentia; Muridae
Description: long non-coding RNA chr1:139155151-139157782
Source: RNAcentral